UGGCGACCGAUGCGUCCCGCGCUCUAGGCGAAGACCGCGGCCCCGUCCCCGCGCCUCCACCGCCUUCUUCCAGGAGGAGGGGCCGUGCGGCGCCUGCCCGGGGGCCCUCAGGCCGCAGGCGGGCGCGAGCUUCAGGGAACUUAGGGGGCUCCCGCCUCCCCGGCCACGCGAGCGGGAACAGUCUCCUCCACUCGGAGCGGCGCCAUCUUCAGCUCUGAGUCACCAGGGCUGGAAAAAUACUAGAUGCGCUACUCGUGGACUCGUGAAUACACUCGUGAAUACAGGCCAUUUCCUGUACCUACAGCCACCCGCUCCACUCAUCAUGCCUUACCUGGAUGAUGCAGAAGUCCCUGGAAACAGAAGGUCUCACCCUUCUUUAUCUUUCUCAUGGCUUUCCAAGGCUCUUUAUCAUGUUACUUUCCUGCUCAGAAUUCUUUAAUGACUUGCCUCAAUGACCAGAUACAUGUGAUCUACAGUCAGCCUUCCAGCCUCAUCAUUCCUCUUCCAUUUCCUCCCCAGAAACACUGUACUUUAUGAAGCUCCUCCAAGACGAAAAAUAAAUUCAAAUAUGGAAUAAAAAGCCCAAACUCAUGAAACUGGACUGACUUUGCUUCUUAAAAAUUCAACAUGCUGCAGCUGCAUGCUUAAACCUGGUUCAAACAGGAUGAUGAAAUAAAACAUUAUUAUUGUGGGAAUAUAACACUGUCUAAAUAAAUAGCCAACAUGAAAACUGUCUCUAAAACCCAUAGCAUCUGUAUGUGCAGACUGUAAGUAAGUUAUAUAAUUCCUCCACUAUUCUGUAACAUGGCCAAUUCAGAAUGUCUUACCAUUAAUCUUGAAGACAUUUAAAGAUGUUCACUUUUCUAACUCUUCCCUUUGAAAAUAUAUUUGAACCUUAUUUGCAAUAAAAAUCUCAUAAUAUUGUAUUACUUUUUGAUGUGUCAUUUCUGUUAAAUGGUGCCUGGAAUAAAUCAGCUUUGACUUUU
This 986-nucleotide long non-coding RNA is filed under the name Homo sapiens (human). Its description in RNAcentral is "HSALNT0337147". The record is from RNAcentral. Lineage: Eukaryota; Metazoa; Chordata; Mammalia; Primates; Hominidae.